This is a long non-coding RNA of Zophobas morio, 1066 nucleotides long. RefSeq lists it as uncharacterized. The transcript is spliced from 8 exons. Lineage: Eukaryota; Metazoa; Arthropoda; Insecta; Coleoptera; Tenebrionidae. The record is from RefSeq and is a predicted model, not a curated record.
AAAUUCUGUUAUUAGAAAAAAGCGAAAGUAAAACGGAAGACUCUUCCGAAGACGUUAAAAAUACGCCACUUUUUACAACUCACAGUGAAAGUAAAGUUCCGGAGAGUACAGCAAACAUAGAAACCAAAGCAAACUUAUAUAAUAACGAAAGUAAAACUUCGAACGAUGAAAAUAACUGCAAUACUAAAAGUUUUAUAGACCCUUUAAAAAGUGACCAGUGGAGUUGUGAUCAAUGCGCUGCUCUUAACCCAACAACUUCUUUGAUUUGUCAAUCUUGUAGAACUGAGCGUUUCCCUUCCAAUAAGAUUAAUGAUACGCAUGGUGAUUCUGGACAAACCAAAGACGCAGAAAAUAACUUGUUCGCCCGGCGGUCAAACCCCCCGUCGCCCGUCGUAGUUCCAGAAAAAAUUGAAACUCCGACUCCUCCACCAUUUGUGUUUGGACAACCGCCACCACACCUUUUUUCUGGCACUUUUGUUGUUUUCUGUGUAUUUUCUUUAGUCAUUCAUGCAUUUUAGAAACUGCUACCAAUCAGAAUAAAGGAUUUUCUUUUGGAUCGACGUCUGUUCCGUUCCGCUUCGACUUCUCCUCCAGUAGCUCGCCGGCCCCGGCUCCCCAACCUUUUUCGGGACCAUCAGUCGGCUAUAGUUUUCAAGGGGCGUCCAGCUCUUCAUUCUCCACUAAAGACGCACCAUCAGCCUCAUCUUCUUUCUUAUUUGACGCCCGGCCUUUCUCGUCCGAGUCUUCUACUGAAAGCGGUGCUUUUAAAGCCGAUAACGGUGUUAACUUUUCAACGAAUGCGGGAGCCCCGCCUUCUAUCGGAUUCUCGUUUACGGGCGGCGAUUCUUCUGUCGGUUCUAUUGACGGAACAUCGCCCGGUUUUAAUUUUACUGGCGGUAGCGCCCCAACUGGCUUUUCCUUUGGCUCAACUAACGAUCAAGCAAAUGCUCCCGUUCAAUUUGGAAAUUCGGCAGGGGAAACUGGAUUUGGCCACGUGAGCGCGCGACAAUUGGAGAGGCAGUUAAGGCGCACAAGGCGUUAAAUGAGUAUUUUUUUGUACUAGAAA